UACGGAGGGUGCAAGCAUUAAUCGGAUUUAUUGGGCGUAAAGGGCGCGUAGGCGGGAUGAAAAGUCUGAUGUGAAAUACCGGGGCUCAACCUCGGUGCUGCAUUAGAAACUUUCAUACUAGAGGGAUGGCGGAGAAAACGGAAUUCCAAGUGUAGCGGUGAAAUGCGUAGAUAUUUGGAAGAACACCGGUGGCGAAGGCGGUUUUCUAGCUAUUACCUGACGCUGAGGCGCGAGAGCAAGGGGAGCAAACAGG
This 253-nucleotide ribosomal RNA is filed under the name uncultured bacterium. RNAcentral's name for it is "partial 16S ribosomal RNA". It matches the Rfam family "Bacterial small subunit ribosomal RNA", at positions 524 to 776 of the family's 1533-position model. The record is from RNAcentral.